Molecule: ribosomal RNA, 253 nt
Filed under: uncultured bacterium
Lineage: Bacteria
Description: partial 16S ribosomal RNA
Rfam family: Bacterial small subunit ribosomal RNA
Source: RNAcentral
UACAGAGGUCUCAAGCGUUGUUCGGAUUCAUUGGGCGUAAAGGGUGCGUAGGUGGCGCCGUAAGUCAGGUGUGAAAUUUCGGAGCUUAACUCCGAAACUGCAUUUGAUACUGCGGUGCUUGAGGACUGGAGAGGAGACUGGAAUACUUGGUGUAGCAGUGAAAUGCGUAGAUAUCAAGUGGAACACCAGUGGCGAAGGCGAGUCUCUGGACAUUUCCUGACGCUGAGGCACGAAAGCCAGGGGAGCAAACGGG